UACGUAGGGUGCAGGCGUUAAUCGGAAUUACUGGGCGUAAAGCGUGCGCAGGCGGCUUCCUAAGUCAGAUGUGAAAUCCCCGGGCUCAACCUGGGAACUGCGUUUGAAACUGGGAGGCUAGAGUGCGGCAGAGGGAGGUGGAAUUCCACGUGUAGCAGUGAAAUGCGUAGAUAUGUGGAGGAACACCGAUGGCGAAGGCAGCCUCCUGGGCCAGCACUGACGCUCAUGCACGAAAGCGUGGGGAGCAAACAGGAUUAGAUACCCUGGUAGUCCACGCCCUAAACUAUGUCGACUAGUUGUUGGGGGAGUCUGUCCCUCAGUAACGUAGCUAACGCGUGAAGUCGACCGCCUGGGGAGUACGGUCGCAAGAUUA
This 373-nucleotide ribosomal RNA is filed under the name uncultured bacterium. Its description in RNAcentral is "bacterial SSU rRNA". It matches the Rfam family "Bacterial small subunit ribosomal RNA", at positions 524 to 896 of the family's 1533-position model. The record is from RNAcentral.